CACGAUUCCUACAUUUGUUACCCUGAUUAGGAGGAGGAUCACUGUUCCUCUGGACCCCAUUGGCAGCUCCUACUUGUCUUCCAGGAACAGAAAGGAGGAACCUGAAGAUUUUAAGGAGUACGAUGCAAAGUGAUCAAACUUUCAGAUGACGUAUACCGUUAAAAAGGACACCUUAUGUUGUUUAGUUCUGGUCCUUUU
Carassius carassius (crucian carp) is the source of this 198-nucleotide long non-coding RNA. RefSeq lists it as uncharacterized. The record is from RefSeq and is a predicted model, not a curated record. NCBI's taxonomy places the organism in Eukaryota, Metazoa, Chordata, Actinopteri, Cypriniformes, Cyprinidae. The transcript has 2 exons.